UUAAGUCAAAUUUGUAUGGAGUCGGAACGUUUGCCUACGUUUGCCGCUAGGGGCGCUGUUCCAACUGCAUAGUGCAUACAAUUUUCAGGUA
Molecule: microRNA precursor, 91 nt
Filed under: Bombyx mori (domestic silkworm)
Lineage: Eukaryota; Metazoa; Arthropoda; Insecta; Lepidoptera; Bombycidae
Description: mir-2807 microRNA precursor family
Rfam family: mir-2807 microRNA precursor family
Source: Rfam by way of RNAcentral